RNAcentral lists this ribosomal RNA (253 nucleotides) under uncultured bacterium. RNAcentral's name for it is "partial 16S ribosomal RNA". It matches the Rfam family "Bacterial small subunit ribosomal RNA", at positions 524 to 776 of the family's 1533-position model. The record is from RNAcentral.
UACGAAGGGGACUAGCGUUGUUCGGAAUUACUGGGCGUAAAGCGCGCGUAGGCGGGCAUCUAAGUCAGGGGUGAAAUGCCAGGGCUCAACCUUGGAAUUGCCUUUGAUACUGGAUGUCUGGAGUUCGGGAGAGGUGAGUGGAAUUCCGAGUGUAGAGGUGAAAUUCGUAGAUAUUCGGAGGAACACCAGAAGCGAAGGCGGCUCACUGGCCCGAUACUGACGCUGAGGCGCGAAAGCUAGGGGAGCAAACGGG